RNAcentral lists this ribosomal RNA (520 nucleotides) under uncultured Glomeromycotina. RNAcentral's name for it is "SSU rRNA". It matches the Rfam family "Eukaryotic small subunit ribosomal RNA", at positions 569 to 1089 of the family's 1831-position model. The record is from RNAcentral. Lineage: Eukaryota; Fungi; Glomeromycota.
CGCAGCCGCGGUAAUUCCAGCUCCAAUAGCGUAUAUUAAAGUUGUUGCAGUUAAAAAGCUCGUAGUUGAAUUUCGGGGUCAGCAGGUUGGUCGUGCCACUGGUAUGUACUGGCUUAGCUGAUUCCUCCCUUUUGUAGAACCGUAAUGCCAUUAAUUUGGUGUUGCGGGGAAAACAAGACUGUUACUUUGAAAAAAUUAGAGUGUUUAAAGCAGGCUAACGCCCGAAUACAUUAGCAUGGAAUAAUGAAAUAGGACGUUCGAUCCUAUUUUGUUGGUUUCUAGGAUUGACGUAAUGAUUAAUAGGGACAGUUGGGGGCAUUAGUAUUCAAUUGUCAGAGGUGAAAUUCUUGGAUUUAUUGAAGACUGACUACUGCGAAAGCAUUUGUCAAGGAUGUUUUCAUUAAUCAAGAACGAAAGUUAGGGGAUCGAAGACGAUCAGAUACCGUCGUAGUCUUAACCAUAAGCUAUGCCGACUAGGGAUCGGAUGAUGUUAAUUUUUUAAUGACUCAUUCGGCGCCUU